AAUGGUAAAAUCAAGAUUCCUGGGGCCCUACCUCCAUAGUCUGAAUCAGAUGGAGCCCAGGAAUCUGUAUUUUAAAUGCAUUCCUGGUGAGUCUCAU
This 97-nucleotide microRNA precursor is filed under the name Dasypus novemcinctus (nine-banded armadillo). Its description in RNAcentral is "miRNA (ENSDNOG00000031560.1)". The record is from RNAcentral. Lineage: Eukaryota; Metazoa; Chordata; Mammalia; Cingulata; Dasypodidae.